RNAcentral lists this ribosomal RNA (343 nucleotides) under Nothophryne sp. HF 21. Its description in RNAcentral is "partial 12S ribosomal RNA". It matches the Rfam family "Bacterial small subunit ribosomal RNA", at positions 871 to 1384 of the family's 1533-position model. The record is from RNAcentral. Lineage: Eukaryota; Metazoa; Chordata; Amphibia; Anura; Pyxicephalidae.
GCCAGGGUAUUACGAGCUUAAGCUUAAAACCCAAAGGACUUGACGGUGUCCCACCCACCUAGAGGAGCCUGUUCUAUAAUCGAUACCCCCCGCUAUACCUCACCAUUUUUAGCCCUUCAGCCUGUAUACCUCCGUCGUAAGCCUACCAUGUGAACGCCCUUAGUAAGCCCAAAGGUUACCCCACCAACACGUCAGGUCAAGGUGCAGCUCAUAAAAUGGAAAGCAAUGGGCUACAAUUUCUAACCUAGAACAAACGAAAGACUACAUGAAACCUAGUCAUGAAGGCGGAUUUAGCAGUAAAAAGAAAAUAGUGUGUUCUUUUUAACUAGGCACUGGGACGCGU